AUCCCAAAUAAGCGCUAUUAUGUUUAUUUGAUUCAUGGGAGGCGUAGACUAACAAUGGAAGUUCGCUGAUAACACCUUCUAUUCCAGAAGGUGUUUCAAUAGUACCUUACCAUACAUAU
Molecule: small nucleolar RNA, 119 nt
Organism: Salvia splendens (bonfire salvia)
Lineage: Eukaryota; Viridiplantae; Streptophyta; Magnoliopsida; Lamiales; Lamiaceae
Source: RefSeq, a predicted model, not a curated record